RNAcentral lists this ribosomal RNA (923 nucleotides) under uncultured bacterium. RNAcentral describes it as "bacterial SSU rRNA". It matches the Rfam family "Bacterial small subunit ribosomal RNA", at positions 8 to 916 of the family's 1533-position model. The record is from RNAcentral.
AGAGUUUGAUCAUGGCUCAGGAUGAACGCUAGCGGCAGGCUUAAUACAUGCAAGUCGAGGGGCAUCAAGGUACACGAAAGUGUAUUGUUGGCGACCGGCGGACGGGUGAGUAAUAGGUAGGUAACCUACCUCAUACUGAGGCAUAGCUGGGAGAAAUUCCAGGUAAUUCCUCAUGAGGUUAUAUGACACAUGUGAUAUAAUCAAAGGUAUCGCAAGGUACUGGUAUGAGAUGGGCUUACUGACCAUUAGCUAGUUGGUGAGAUAAGAGCUCACCAAGGCGAAGAUGGUUAGGGGUUUUGAGAGAGAGAUCCCCCACAUUGGAACUGAGAUACGGUCCAGACUCCUACGGGAGGCAGCAGUAGGGAAUAUUGGGCAAUGGGCGGAAGCCUGACCCAGCCAUGCCGCGUGAAGGAAGACGGCCUUAUGGGUUGUAAACUUCUUUACUAUGCGACUAACUAGAUUUACGAGAUAAUUCUAUAGAAUGUAGCAUAGCAAAAAGCACCGGCUAACUCCGUGCCAGCAGCCGCGGUAAUACGGAGGGUGCGAGCGUUAUUCGGAAUCACUGGGUUUAAAGGGUGCGUAGGCGGCUAAGUAAGUUGUCAUUGAAAGGCUACAGCUCAACUGUAGUAGUGGUGGCGAUACUGCUUAGCUAAGAACAUGGGAGGGGUACUUGGAAUGUGUGGUGUAGCGGUGAAAUGCGUAGAUAUCACACAGAACACCAGAGGCGAAGGCGGAGUACUAGACCAUAGUUGACGCUGAGGCACGAAAGCGUGGGGAUCAAACAGGAUUAGAUACCCUGNUAGUCCACGCCCUAAACGAUGAUCACUAGAUAUUGGCGACAAACAGUCAGUGUCCAAGCGAAAGUGAUAAGUGAUCCACCUGGGGACUACGGCCGCANGGUUAAAACUCAAAUGAAUUGACGG